This 682-nucleotide long non-coding RNA is filed under the name Rattus norvegicus (Norway rat). RNAcentral's name for it is "long non-coding RNA NONRATT029431". Lineage: Eukaryota; Metazoa; Chordata; Mammalia; Rodentia; Muridae. The record is from RNAcentral.
AGUAGAGCAAGGUCAUGUAGUAAGUAGUCUUUUAGUUUUUCUGAGGAUCCUCCACACUAAUUGAUUAUGGCUACAUUAAUUUACCUCCUUACCAGUCCUCUAUAAAAGUCAUGGUCAGCAUAGUUUGUUUUCUUGGGAAUGAACAUCUGACCAGAUUCAAAUAGAAUCUCAGUGUACUUCUGAUUACCAUUUCCAUGAUGGCUUUUACAUUUCUGUCAUUUUUUAAAUGCACCCCAGCACUGCCCCUCCCCUUUCAAGUCACCUUCUUCUUUUUUUUGUUUUUUUUAAGGACUUUUUGUAUUGGAAAAAUACAAGCUUCAUCUUUAGGAACCAUACAUCUUAAACCAAUUAUUUCUUUUAAACUAGACAGAGCACAAACAUCCCUAGCCCUGUCAAAUAAGUUUAAAUAAGGUGACAUCAGGCAAAUAAAUUAAGGAUUAAUAAGUUAGUCCUUUGUGCUAGGGAUCUAGCUCACUUAGUAGAAUGCUUGCCAAGUGUGAAUGAAGGGUGUUAGAACUGCCUAAGAUAGGCAUGGUGGCCCACACCUGUAAUCCCAGCACUCGGUGGAAGCCGAAGGGUCAGAAGUUCAAGGUUAAAAAAAAAAAAGCCUUUAUUUAGAUGGAGGUAUAAAUUUAACAUCUCUGUCUUAAUUUGGGUUUUACUGCUGGGAACAGACACCAUG